This 569-nucleotide ribosomal RNA is filed under the name Colletotrichum sp. ITCC 5227. RNAcentral describes it as "eukaryotic LSU rRNA". The stretch from base 207 to 360 matches the Rfam family "5.8S ribosomal RNA". The record is from RNAcentral. Lineage: Eukaryota; Fungi; Ascomycota; Sordariomycetes; Glomerellales; Glomerellaceae.
CGUUGGUGAACCAGCGGAGGGAUCAUUACUGAGUUACCGCUCAUCAACCCUUUGUGAACAUACCUUAACUGUUGCUUCGGCGGGUAGGCGUCCCCUAAAAAGGACGUCUCCCGGCCCUCUCCCGUCCGCGGGUGGGGCGCCCGCCGGAGGAUAACCAAACUCUGAUUUAACGACGUUUCUUCUGAGUGACACAAGCAAAUAAUCAAAACUUUUAACAACGGAUCUCUUGGUUCUGGCAUCGAUGAAGAACGCAGCGAAAUGCGAUAAGUAAUGUGAAUUGCAGAAUUCAGUGAAUCAUCGAAUCUUUGAACGCACAUUGCGCCCGCCAGCAUUCUGGCGGGCAUGCCUGUUCGAGCGUCAUUUCAACCCUCAAGCUCUGCUUGGUGUUGGGGCUCUACGGUUGACGUAGGCCCUUAAAGGUAGUGGCGGACCCUCUCGGAGCCUCCUUUGCGUAGUAACAUUUCGUCUCGCAUUGGGAUUCGGAGGGACUCUAGCCGUAAAACCCCCAAUUUUACUAAGGUUGACCUCGGAUCAGGUAGGAAUACCCGCUGAACUUAAGCAUAUCAAUA